RNAcentral lists this ribosomal RNA (484 nucleotides) under uncultured bacterium. Its description in RNAcentral is "partial 16S ribosomal RNA". It matches the Rfam family "Bacterial small subunit ribosomal RNA", at positions 30 to 507 of the family's 1533-position model. The record is from RNAcentral.
AUUGAACGCUGGCGGCAUGCUUUACACAUGCAAGUCGAACGGCAGCACGGGCUUCGGCCUGGUGGCGAGUGGCGAACGGGUGAGUAAUAUAUCGGAACGUACCCAGACGUGGGGGAUAACGUAGCGAAAGUUACGCUAAUACCGCAUACGAUCUAUGGAUGAAAGCAGGGGACCGCAAGGCCUUGUGCUCCUGGAGCGGCCGAUAUCUGAUUAGCUAGUUGGUGAGGUAAAGGCUCACCAAGGCGACGAUCAGUAGCUGGUCUGAGAGGACGACCAGCCACACUGGAACUGAGACACGGUCCAGACUCCUACGGGAGGCAGCAGUGGGGAAUUUUGGACAAUGGGCGCAAGCCUGAUCCAGCAAUGCCGCGUGAGUGAAGAAGGCCUUCGGGUUGUAAAGCUCUUUUGUCAGGGAAGAAACGGUAGAGGCUAAUAUCCUUUGCUAAUGACGGUACCUGAAGAAUAAGCACCGGCUAACUACGUG